GCCUGGGUGGCCCAGUUGGUUAAGCAUCUGACUUCUGCUCAGGUCAUGAUCUCACGGUUCAUGGGUUCAAGCCCCAUGUCAGGCU
RNAcentral lists this transfer RNA (85 nucleotides) under Felis catus (domestic cat). It matches the Rfam family "tRNA". From Rfam's summary of the family: Transfer RNA (tRNA) molecules are approximately 80 nucleotides in length. Their secondary structure includes four short double-helical elements and three loops (D, anti-codon, and T loops). The record is from Rfam by way of RNAcentral. Lineage: Eukaryota; Metazoa; Chordata; Mammalia; Carnivora; Felidae.